UGAUAACUCAGUGGGUAAAGAUGCUGGC
RNAcentral lists this non-coding RNA (28 nucleotides) under Rattus norvegicus (Norway rat). Lineage: Eukaryota; Metazoa; Chordata; Mammalia; Rodentia; Muridae. The record is from RNAcentral.